Molecule: long non-coding RNA, 1293 nt
Filed under: Bos grunniens (domestic yak)
Lineage: Eukaryota; Metazoa; Chordata; Mammalia; Artiodactyla; Bovidae
Description: lncRNA (ENSBGRG00000011757.1)
Source: RNAcentral
CCAAGAGUGGAGGAGGAGAUUAAGGGUCAAAAUAGGGGGCUAUUGUUGGAAGAAGCAAAUCUUCAUUCUACAGUCAAUAUGACUCUUUUAAAAUCUCAAUUUAUUUGUGGCUCAAAACAUCAACUUUCUUCACAAGUUGCUGUUUGUUGUUGUUUAGUCUCCAAAUAGUAUCCAACUCAUUGAGACCCCAUGGUCUGUAGCCUGCCAGGCUCCUCUGUCCAUGGGAUUUCCUAGGCAAGACUACUGGAGUGAGUUGCCAUUUCCUUCUCCAGGGCAUCUUCCCAACCCAGAGGUCAACCUGCAUCUCUUGCAUCUCCUGUAUCAGCAUUGGCAAACAGGUUCCUUACCACCAUCACCACCUGGGAAGCCCAGGAAAGCCAGAGCCCGAACCUCAGCCAGGCCCGGACGGAAGUCUAGCCUGCAUUCUUAAAGGCUGUAUCUUUAAAAGAGAUUAGGAAAUUCUCAUGAGAGUCUGAAACACUGAAUUAUAGGGAAAAAAAAGUCAAUCUAGUAAAUUCUGUUCUGGAAAACAUGCUAAAUAAAAUGUGAUUUCUUGCGGAUGUUCCUGUGGGCUCAAAAAUUAUAUGAAAUCUGUGUUACUGGUUUUAAUGUUCUAUGUGAUCAAGCUUAUUGUGGGAUUUGUACAUUUUCUAUUUGGCUUACUUUUGUCUGUUGAUCUAGCAGUUUCUGAUAUGAACGUGUUAAAAUCUUACUUAAAUUGUUGAUUUAGCUAUUAAUCUGUCCUAAUUUUUAGUGAUUUAAAAAAUAAACAUACAUUUCAAGGCAACAUACAUAUAUAUACCUGUGAUUUUUUAUAUUAUUCAUGUAAUAUUCUUUUUAUCAGUAUAUGAUGUUUCUCUUUUCCCUUAUAUUUUCUACCAUAAGUUCUAUAACCUGCUUUAUUUCUUAUUUUCCUGGGAUAUUUUCUGUUCUCUUAUUGAUAUUUCUGUAUACUUUCUUUACUUUUUUACCCAUUAAUAUUUACCCUUGGAUUCACUGCCUUUUGACUGAGUAUGGUUCAUUUAUAUUCAAUUAAAUUUUUCCCUCAAACGUUUCUGUCAUCUUAUUUUUUGCUUUCCAUUUACAGUUCCUUUCACUUAUUUUUCCCUUUUAUAUGCUCCAUUAGGUAGAUGACAGUUUUUCUUCUAUUUUAAAAAUAAACAGUUUAUUUUUAUACUUGUGGUGUAUACUUUUUUACUCCCAACUUAGUAACACUUAGAAUUGUGCUUAUUUUUCCAUAUCAAACAAUUACACUGAAUAGGAUAAGAUAUAUUCUAACUUCUCUCAUAUCCC